AUAUCAGUAAGCGGAGGAAAAGAAAUUAACAAAGAUUGCCCUAGUAGCGGCGAGUGAAGAGGCAACAGCUCAAGUUGAGAAUCGAUUGUAGUAAUGCUCUCGAAUUGUAAUCUAAAGUGCAGUCCAGAAGGUGAGAACGACGCACAAACUCCUGGAAAGGAGUGUCAUAGAGGGUGACAACCCCGUACAUGGUGUCGUUCUUGCUGUAUGGAAGGCUACAAAGAGUCGGGUUGUUUGGGACUGCAGCCCAAAAUGGGAGGUAAACUUCUCCUAAGGCUAAAUAUUGGUGGGAGACCGAUAGCGCACAAGUA
This 311-nucleotide ribosomal RNA is filed under the name uncultured eukaryote. RNAcentral's name for it is "partial large subunit ribosomal RNA". It matches the Rfam family "Eukaryotic large subunit ribosomal RNA", at positions 40 to 350 of the family's 3401-position model. The record is from RNAcentral.